GGAGAGGUGGCUGAGCUGGCUGAAGGCGCUCGCCUGGAGAGCGAGUAGGCGGAUGAUAAGUCUGCCUCGUGGGUUCAAAUCCCACCCUCUCCGCCA
Molecule: transfer RNA, 96 nt
Filed under: Clostridia bacterium
Lineage: Bacteria; Bacillati; Bacillota; Clostridia
Description: tRNA-Ser
Rfam family: tRNA
About the family: Transfer RNA (tRNA) molecules are approximately 80 nucleotides in length. Their secondary structure includes four short double-helical elements and three loops (D, anti-codon, and T loops). Further hydrogen bonds mediate the characteristic L-shaped molecular structure. tRNAs have two regions of fundamental functional importance: the anti-codon, which is responsible for specific mRNA codon recognition, and the 3' end, to which the tRNAs corresponding amino acid is attached (by aminoacyl-tRNA synthetases). tRNAs cope with the degeneracy of the genetic code in two manners: having more than one tRNA (with a specific anti-codon) for a particular amino acid; and 'wobble' base-pairing, i.e. permitting non-standard base-pairing at the 3rd anti-codon position.
Source: RNAcentral